RNAcentral lists this ribosomal RNA (503 nucleotides) under uncultured bacterium. RNAcentral describes it as "partial 16S ribosomal RNA". It matches the Rfam family "Bacterial small subunit ribosomal RNA", at positions 30 to 523 of the family's 1533-position model. The record is from RNAcentral.
AUUGAACGCUGGCGGCAGGCUUAACACAUGCAAGUCGAGCGGGGUGAUGGUGCUUGCACUAUCACUUAGCGGCGGACGGGUGAGUAAUGCUUAGGAAUCUGCCUAUUAGUGGGGGACAACAUCUCGAAAGGGAUGCUAAUACCGCAUACGUCCUACGGGAGAAAGCAGGGGAUCACUUGUGACCUUGCGCUAAUAGAUGAGCCUAAGUCGGAUUAGCUAUUUGGUGGGGUAAAGGCCUACCAAGGCGACGAUCCGUAGCGGGUCUGAGAGGAUGAUCCGCCACACUGGGACUGAGACACGGCCCAGACUCCUACGGGAGGCAGCAGUGGGGAAUAUUGGACAAUGGGGGGAACCCUGAUCCAGCCAUGCCGCGUGUGUGAAGAAGGCCUUAUGGUUGUAAAGCACUUUAAGCGAGGAGGAGGCUCUUUUGGUUAAUACCCAAGAUGAGUGGACGUUACUCGCAGAAUAAGCACCGGCUAACUCUGUGCCAGCCGCCGCAGUAA